This 253-nucleotide ribosomal RNA is filed under the name uncultured bacterium. Its description in RNAcentral is "partial 16S ribosomal RNA". It matches the Rfam family "Bacterial small subunit ribosomal RNA", at positions 524 to 776 of the family's 1533-position model. The record is from RNAcentral.
UACGGGGGGGGCAAGCGUUGUUCGGAAUUACUGGGCGUAAAGGGCUCGUAGGCGGCCAACUAAGUCGGAUGUGAAACCCCCAAGCUUAACUUGGGAACUGCAUCCGAUACUGGAUGGCUCGAGUCCGGAAGAGGAGUGUGGAAUUCCUGGUGUAGCGGUGAAAUGCGCAGAUAUCAGGAGGAACACCAAUGGCGAAGGCAGCACUCUGGGACGUGACUGACGCUGAGACGCGAAAGCGUGGGGAGCAAACAGG